Molecule: ribosomal RNA, 324 nt
Filed under: Triticum aestivum (bread wheat)
Lineage: Eukaryota; Viridiplantae; Streptophyta; Magnoliopsida; Poales; Poaceae
Description: partial small subunit ribosomal RNA
Source: RNAcentral
AUGGAGGAGGAACAUGAGAGAGUCUCACGGGGCAGAGGAGGCCAAUGGAGCGCAGGGAAGAAGAAGACGGCGAGCACCGAGCCAAACUGCCAUUGUUCGCUAGUGGGCGCGCAGCGGCUUGCGUCAGUGAGGAAACAGUCGGAGGGGGAGAGGGGUCCAGGGGGACAACGACGACGAGGUGAAGCCAAGGGACAUGCUCAUGCGCGUGAAGGCGACGAGAUGAGGAGGUGCCACAACACAAACGGCCACUGGACGCGACCACUACACACAGAGCGUGUGCACUAUGAUGCCAUUAACGCAGGCACGGCGUGCACUGGCAUGUAG